Non-coding RNA from Pelobates cultripes (western spadefoot toad), 402 nucleotides. The record is from the annotation of a GenBank genome assembly. Lineage: Eukaryota; Metazoa; Chordata; Amphibia; Anura; Pelobatidae.
GUAGUUGUACAUUUGUGGCAUGCGAAUAUCGGCACAUUAUUUAAAUGUUAUGUUUUAAACAAACUAUGUGCGGUAGUUUACGCAUGCUUUAAGUAGUUAACUUGUGAGAUCGUAGCAGAGAUUUCAACAUAAGGUAACAGUAUGUUUAGUUAUACGUUGAGAGACAUUAAUGCGAGGAACAGGUUAAUAUACUAGGCGGUUAGUAUUAUACCCAGUUUAUACAUGUUGGGGUUUACGUUGGGUAGAAGCUGUCUAGGCGUUGGCAGACCAUAAGUGAUAUUAGUUUUUUCCGCUCUGUUCAGUAUAUACAUUACCAACACGAAGUUUAAUCAAUAACAGCAAAUAGAAUGCAGACCAAUUUCUUCUAACAGUGUAAUAUUCCAUCAUAGUGUCUUCUCCUCC